This 484-nucleotide ribosomal RNA is filed under the name uncultured bacterium. Its description in RNAcentral is "partial 16S ribosomal RNA". It matches the Rfam family "Bacterial small subunit ribosomal RNA", at positions 30 to 507 of the family's 1533-position model. The record is from RNAcentral.
AUUGAACGCUGGCGGCAGGCCUAACACAUGCAAGUCGAGCGGAUGAAGGGAGCUUGCUCCUGGAUUCAGCGGCGGACGGGUGGGUAAUGCCUAGGAAUCUGCCUGGUAGUGGGGGAUAACGUCCGGAAACGGGCGCUAAUACCGCAUACGUCCUGAGGGAGAAAGUGGGGGAUCUUCGGACCUCACGCUAUCAGAUGAGCCUAGGUCGGAUUAGCUAGUUGGUGGGGUAAAGGCCUACCAAGGCGACGAUCCGUAACUGGUCUGAGAGGAUGAUCAGUCACACUGGAACCGAGACACGGUCCAGACUCCUACGGGAGGCAGCAGUGGGGAAUAUUGGACAAUGGGCGAAAGCCUGAUCCAGCCAUGCCGCGUGUGUGAAGAAGGUCUUCGGAUUGUAAAGCACUUUAAGUUGGGAGGAAGGGCAGUAAGUUAAUACCUUGCUGUUUUGACGUUACCAACAGAAUAAGCACCGGCUAACUUCGUG